CCUACGGGAGGCAGCAGUAGGGAAUCUUGCGCAAUGGGCGAAAGCCUGACGCAGCGACGCCGCGUGUGGGAUGACGGCCUUCGGGUUGUAAACCACUUUCAGCAGGGACGAAGCCUCACGGUGACGGUACCUGCAGAAGAAGGUCCGGCCAACUACGUGCCAGCAGCCGCGGUAAUACGUAGGGACCAAGCGUUGUCCGGAUUUAUUGGGCGUAAAGAGCUCGUAGGCGGCCCUUCGCGUCGGAUGUGAAAGCUCAGGGCUCAACCCUGAGAGGCCAUUCGAUACGGGAGGGCUAGAGGUAGGUAGGGGAAAGUGGAAUUCCUGGUGUAGCGGUGAAAUGCGCAGAUAUCAGGAGGAACACCGGUGGCGAAGGCGGCUUUCUGGGCCUUACCUGACGCUGAGGAGCGAAAGCUGGGGGAGCGAACAGGAUUAGAUACCCUGGUAGUCCCAGCCGUAAACGUUGGGUGCUAGGUGUGGGGAGGUCUUCAACCCUCUCUGUGCCGAAGCUAACGCAUUAAGCACCCCGCCUGGGGAGUACGGCCGCAAGGCUAAAACUCAAAGGAAUUGACGGGGGCCCGCACAAGCGGCGGAGCAUGUGGCUUAAUUCGAUGCAACGCGAAGAACCUUACCUAGGCUUGACAUGCUAGUUAAAGCGGGUGAAAGCCCGUGUCCGUAAGGGGCUAGCACAGGUGCUGCAUGGCUGUCGUCAGCUCGUGCCGUGAGGUGUUGGCUUAAGUGCCGCAACGAGCGCAACCCCUGCCCUUAGUUGCCAGCGGGUAAUGCCGGGGACUCUAAGGGGACUGCCGGGGACAACUCGGAGGAAUGUGGGGAUGACGUCAAGUCAGCAUGGCCCUUAUGCCUAGGGCUGCACACAUGCUACAUUGCGCGCACAGAGGGCUGCGAUCCCGCAAGGGGGAGCGAAUCCCAAAAAGCGCGCUGGUUCGGAUUGGGGUCUGCAACUCGACCCAUGAAGUCGAGUCGCUAGUAAUCGCAGAUCAGCACGCCGCGGUGAAUACGUUCCCGGG
RNAcentral lists this ribosomal RNA (1025 nucleotides) under uncultured bacterium. RNAcentral's name for it is "bacterial SSU rRNA". It matches the Rfam family "Bacterial small subunit ribosomal RNA", at positions 338 to 1378 of the family's 1533-position model. The record is from RNAcentral.